RNAcentral lists this ribosomal RNA (332 nucleotides) under uncultured bacterium. RNAcentral describes it as "bacterial SSU rRNA". It matches the Rfam family "Bacterial small subunit ribosomal RNA", at positions 568 to 899 of the family's 1533-position model. The record is from RNAcentral.
UGCGUAGGCGGUUCUGUAAGUAUGGUGUGAAAUCUCCCGGCUUAACUGGGAGGGUGCGCUAUAGACUGCGGGACUCGAGUGUGGGAGAGGAAAGUGGAAUUCCUGGUGUAGCGGUGAAAUGCGUAGAUAUCAGGAGGAACACCGGUGGUGUAAACGGCUUUCUGGACCAUAACUGACGCUGAGGCACGAAAGCGUGGGUAGCAAACAGGAUUAGAUACCCUGGUAGUCCACGCCCUAAACGAUGCAUAUUUGGUGUGGGUCAUUCAGUUGAUCCGUGCCGGAGCUAACGCGUUAAAUAUGCCGCCGUGGGGAGUACAGUCGCAAGGCUAGAA